This 592-nucleotide long non-coding RNA is filed under the name Gossypium barbadense (sea-island cotton). RNAcentral describes it as "long non-coding RNA (GBAR_LNC013716)". The record is from RNAcentral. Lineage: Eukaryota; Viridiplantae; Streptophyta; Magnoliopsida; Malvales; Malvaceae.
GAAAAUUUUACCAUUUUACAAAUGAAUAUAUUAUAUUCACGGCACCAGAUCCAACAAAUCCAAGAACUCAUCUUGAUAGAAAAUUAGGAUUAUCUACUUACUUGCCAUCCCUAUCAACUAACAAAGCCAAGAACAUAUCCUUGCAAAUUAUAACCUUCAAGAAUCAGCAUUAUUUGAUUUCACUCAAUUAAACAGUUUCAUGUUCUGGAAACUGCUGAAUUCGCUUACCGACUACACAAGAACAUGACCCUGGUUCUAUAUGAAGAGAAUGCACCUGCUCAUCAUUAUUGGAAGACUGAUGUUCACUGCCUUCAUUCCCGGAAACCACCUCUGGUGUCAUAAAGACCACUUCUUGAAUCUACAACUACUUCCCCUUAAAGUGAACCUUCUAAUGAACAAAUUACCACUGUACACAGCAAAAAAAUACUGGCAUUGGUGCCAUGUUAGAAGCACUCGAUCAACAGAAGAAAAGAGCUAAAACAAAAAUGAAAGAAGCAAGAAAAAGAAAAUGGUCUACUUGUUUUAAUAAAUAGACUCUAAUAAUCCAUAAGGACCGAGUCUUUGUUAUUUAUACAAGAAUAAUUAGUGAAGC